GUCUACGGCUAUGCCACCAUGAAUAUGCCCGAUCUCAUCUGAUCUCAGAAGCUAAGCAGGGAGGGGCCUGGUUAGUACUUGGACGGGAGACCACCUCAGAAUACUAGGUACUGUAGGCA
This is a ribosomal RNA of Pteropus vampyrus (large flying fox), 119 nucleotides long. The record is from Ensembl. Lineage: Eukaryota; Metazoa; Chordata; Mammalia; Chiroptera; Pteropodidae.